CUGAGAGGGUGACCGGCCACAUUGGGACUGAGACACGGCCCAGACUCCUACGGGAGGCAGCAGUGGGGAAUAUUGCACAAUGGGGGAAACCCUGAUGCAGCGACGCCGCGUGAGCGAUGAAGUAUUUCGGUAUGUAAAGCUCUAUCAGCAGGGAAGAAAAUGACGGUACCUGACUAAGAAGCCCCGGCUAACUACGUGCCAGC
This 203-nucleotide ribosomal RNA is filed under the name uncultured bacterium. RNAcentral describes it as "partial 16S ribosomal RNA". It matches the Rfam family "Bacterial small subunit ribosomal RNA", at positions 292 to 512 of the family's 1533-position model. The record is from RNAcentral.